CUCAGGCCAUCAGUAACAUAUAACACAAACUCUCCUCCAUGCAACAAAAAGAUUGUCCUUUUUUGAUAAUGCAGACAUUAAAUUUUAAUCCAGCACACAAUGUUUUACCGACACAAUUCAUCCUACUGUGCUGAAGGUUUCUGCUUAAAUGUUCUCGCCUCUAGAGAAUAAAAUGAAUCACACUCUCUGUGCACAGGCCACCCCAAGGUGAUUUAUUUGCUGAUUCCUUGUCACUGUGUAAUUUAUUGCAGUGCUUUUGUCUUCUUUUUUGUAUACAUGGAGUGAUCAGGCAGUGCAGAGCAGCAAACGUGAUUCUGUUCCUAAGGAGAUUCACAGUGUCCAGGACUCCAGAUAAUGAGACGGAACAGGCUCUGCCAGAGACGCGGUCUCAGCCGUGGCUGACCAUCGUGCAUGCCCUUGAACCCAGCUGGACCUCCCAAGAAAUACGGCAACUCAUUAUUCUGUCAGAUGUCACAUCGAGCCAAGCGAGAGUGUCAGUAACUGCUUCCAAACGGAGAUGGAGAUUUCACAUUGUUUAGCGGGAUCCCAGAAUAGAAGGCGUAUUUCAAAGCGUUGACUUUCACAACAGUGCUCGGUUAGUAUGUUCACCGUGCCAUGACUUUUUAGUGUGCACCUCAUUAUUAAUGAUUUUACUACUAGGCUGUUGAAACACAAAGAAGGGGAGUGUGGGGACAGUGUCAUGUUGCUUCAACUGAUCAAAUGAUAAAUAAUGAUAAACAUGGGCUCAAAUAAAUGCUUUGUUCUUUCGUAUUUUCUUCAGACUAGAGAACGGAGUUGAAAAGAGCAACUGGGGAACAAUAAAGCAAUAUUGCAAGAAACUCCCCCAGCUUAUAAAGGAUUUCGCAAUUGGAUUGCAAAAUGCAGUUGGAACAAACAGACAAAGAAAUAAAAAUCUUACACUAACACAACCUUUAUGUAAUUAAAUAGGUUACUAAAAAUACUUUUUGUCAUUUCAGUUUUUUUCAAGAAUAAUUAGAAUAUGAAAGGAAGUAGAAUUUAUGCAGCUGGCACUGAUUCAUUAUCAGAAAAAUGCUAAUUGUUGACAUCUAACAACUUUUGAAGUGGCCAGUUUCACUCCUGUAGGCCCUUCUGGGAUGGUAAUUUCAGAAAACAACAGCUUUUUGUAAAUUUCAUGAAUGUGGAGCUUUAAAUUCUUAUCAUGAGACACAUAGGAUGGAAGUGUGGGUAUAGUGGUAUGUUGCUUC
Cyprinus carpio carpio is the source of this 1226-nucleotide long non-coding RNA. NCBI's taxonomy places the organism in Eukaryota, Metazoa, Chordata, Actinopteri, Cypriniformes, Cyprinidae. The record is from Ensembl.